This 99-nucleotide signal recognition particle RNA is filed under the name Ignavibacteria bacterium. RNAcentral describes it as "signal recognition particle sRNA small type". It matches the Rfam family "Bacterial small signal recognition particle RNA". Rfam says of the family: The signal recognition particle (SRP) is a universally conserved ribonucleoprotein involved in the co-translational targeting of proteins to membranes. Archaeal SRP consists of a 7S RNA and homologues of the eukaryotic SRP19 and SRP54 proteins. The record is from RNAcentral. Lineage: Bacteria; Pseudomonadati; Ignavibacteriota; Ignavibacteria.
UGUCAAGCCCCGAACAAUAUAAAAUUACCCAACUCCGCCAGGUUCGGAAGAAAGCAACGGUAAGUAACUUUUGUAUGUGAUUUGGGUGUCUUGACAUUU